RNAcentral lists this unclassified non-coding RNA (219 nucleotides) under root metagenome. RNAcentral's name for it is "partial contains small subunit ribosomal RNA, internal transcribed spacer 1, and 5.8S ribosomal RNA". The record is from RNAcentral.
UCUCCGUUGGUGAACCAGCGGAGGGAUCAUUAUUGAGUUACUGAACUCCCAAACCCGUGUGAACUUACCACUGUUGCUUCGGCGGUCACGCCCCGGGAGCCCUGCGCGGCCCGGAGUCAGGCGUCCGCCGGAGGACCAAAACUCUUGUUAAUUUUUGUCAAAUCUGAAUCAAAACUAAGAAAUAAGUUAAAACUUUCAACAACGGAUCUCUUGGUUCUG